CACGUCUCCAGAAAUCCUUGACAAAGAAUAACUCCAUUUUUUCUCUGGUUCCAUUUCUCCCACCCAAAUGAAACUACAGAAACAUUUUUUUUUCUAUUGGAAUCAAGACCGAACGACUAUAUAAGCCAUCCAUGAUUCAUAUUUGGAAGUCUGGUAUACACCACACAUAUAUAUGAUACGAAGUCAUGCCUGGCUCCCUGUAUGCCACAAGUAAAUACCGAUCUCAUUAUGAAAUCGGACACUAGUGGCGUACAGAGUAGUCAAGCAUAACCACUGAUAUUCUUGAUAUAUGAGUACUUUGUUUUUGUAACACAAGAUAUAUAUGUGUGGAUGGUGGCUAGCUAUAAGAUAUAUGUUAUAUGCAUGGAUUAUGUCUAGAACUGUUAUAUGGUACUCAAUUUCACUAUUUUGAGAUCCUUUAAUUUAGUAAGACCAUAUCUAACUCUAUCUCUAUAUUCUUUUAUAAAUAAAGAAACUUUAUUAUAAAAGUAAUAUUGUAGUAAAACUAUUUCUAUGGUAAAUGUUAUCUAUUUUAGAGAAACAUAGAGAAAAAUAUAGAAGUGAAUUGCAUAUAUAUAUAUAUAUAUAUAUAUAUAUAUAUAUAUAUAUAUAUAUAUAUAUAUAUUCUAAGAUGUCAUUCAUCUUUAACUAUGCACGGCGUAAUUCAUGUAUUGCUAAGAUGUUACGAGUUUGUAAUUUGAAGAAAUGCUAAUUCAUAUCGUUUAAAAUUAUUGUUAGCGUUAGUAAGCAAGUGGUAGUAGCCUAUGGCAAUUUGGUAUGUAUCCACAUCAGUUUUGGAUUUGAUUCUUUCUUUUUUGGAACUAAAUUAUCACUACUUGGUCAGUAUGGACUUGGACUUCGGUCCAAGUGAUUUACAUGGUGGGCGGGGCAUAACAGAUGAUUGGUCCACUCCUUGGUAUUAGUCGGAAGGUAUUCCAAACUCGGGACAGACAGUAUGAUACGCUUUCGAACUAGUCCACUUUGUAGUACUAAGUGUGUUCUUUUCAGGACUGACCGGAUCAGCCGAUAGACUUUAUCAAGAAAAAAAAAAUUAUUGUUAGCGCUGUUGGUUGAACAAUAGUUGAGUUAAUCACACGGGAGUGGUCUGGUGGUGUGAAUUCCAGAGAAAUCAAGAUUGUCCAAAACUAUGUAAUAAUUAAGCCUUAGAAGGAGGAUACAUCGCCGGUACCUCGAAGCUCCUCAAGACUCAAGAGUACCACUCCAAGUCUCCAAGUUAGAGAUUCUUGACAAAGUGAAAGCCUCUCUUAUGCUAUGCGUUGUAUGCAGGAUGUUUCUUGUGACAGAAAAACUACUGUAAAGCACAAGACAUUUGUCUCUCCUUUUCAUGCAUUUGCCCCUCCCAAAAUUCCCAAGUUUGUUUAAAUUUGUUGUUUUCUUUCCUCAAAAUCAUCGACACUGAUUCAGAGGUAAUAUAGAUAUGUCAACAUAGGUAUUAAUCUAUAUUAACUGUAUGACUUAAAUGGUAAAAACCUUUUAGAUUGGAAAUGGAUCAACAUAGACAGAUUUAUGAUAACUAGUGAUAACUUGAUUGACUUUUUAACGAAAUGUUUUCUUUUUUGUGUGUGAAAAGCUAGUAAUUUGGCAACUGACUGAUUGUAUUGGUGCGAACUUAUUUCUUUCAAACAUAAACAAAACAAAUAAUCAAAUGACGUUUCCGAA
Molecule: long non-coding RNA, 1680 nt
Organism: Brassica rapa (field mustard)
Lineage: Eukaryota; Viridiplantae; Streptophyta; Magnoliopsida; Brassicales; Brassicaceae
Source: RefSeq, a predicted model, not a curated record